RNAcentral lists this ribosomal RNA (433 nucleotides) under uncultured bacterium. Its description in RNAcentral is "partial 16S ribosomal RNA". It matches the Rfam family "Bacterial small subunit ribosomal RNA", at positions 29 to 507 of the family's 1533-position model. The record is from RNAcentral.
AACGAACGCUGGCGGCAUGCCUAACACAUGCAAGUCGAACGAGACCUUCGGGUCUAGUGGCGCACGGGUGCGUAGCGCGUGGGAACCUGCCCUUAGGUUCGGAAUAACUCCCCGAAAGGGGUGCUAAUACCGGAUAAUGUCUUCGGACCAAAGAUUUAUCGCCUUUGGAUGGGCCCGCGUUGGAUUAGCUAGUUGGUAGGGUAAAAGCCUACCAAGGCGACGAUCCAUAGCUGGUCUGAGAGGAUGAUCAGCCACACUGGGACUGAGACACGGCCCAGACUCCUACGGGAAGCAGCAGUGGGAAAUAUUGGACAAUGGGCGAAAGCCUGAUCCAGCAAUGCCGCGUGAGUGAUGAAGGCCUUAGGGUUGUAAAGCUCUUUUACCCGGGAUGAUAAUGACAGUACCGGGAGAAUAAGCUCCGGCUAACUCCGUG